GCAGACAGCUGCCAAGAAAGUCAUUGUGAUCCUGGGUCUGAUGGCUUCUCUGAGGCAAUCUCAACUUCCCAAUGUCUAACAGUCAUUCCUUUGCAUUCCCCAAGUCUCAUUUCUCCAGCUUUUAAAGACAUUCCUGUACCACUACCUUCCUGGCUAUUAUCAUAAUCUAAACUAACUUAGAAGAGUAUGUUGAGUGACCAUUCAAAGGGAAAAAAAAAAAAAGCAAAAACCACAAGGCAGGAGGUGGAAGAAGCCACAGCUGAAGAGAGAAGGAGAGUGUCUCAGAUGGAGAAGAGAUGGUAGUGGUGUGGGUAUGUGUUGUGUGGAGGACUGAUGGAUCUGGAGGUAUGGAAGGGCCAUGCCUCAGAAGGAACAGGUAUGGUGCUCCUAAAACAGUUAGACCCAGAGCAGCAGUCUUAACAAAGACCCCUAUGUAUUAGUUUUUUUUUGUUGCAACAAAUUACCACCAACUUAGAGGCUUCAAACAACAUACAUUUAUUAUCUCACGGGUUCUGUGCAUCAGAAGUCCAGGCACAGUUUAGUUGCGUCAUCUGCUUCAGGAUCUUACAUAAAAGGCUACAGUGAAGGUGUCAGCCAAGGCUGGGGUCUAAUCUGAAGGCUCGAUUGGUAAGGGAUCCAUUUCCAAACUCAAGUGGUUAUUGGUAGGAUUCAGUUCUUUGUGGGCUAUUGGACUGAGGACCUCAGUUCUUUGUUGGCUAUUGCCUGGAGACUGACUUUGGUUUCUUGCUAUAUGGGCCUCCCCAACAUGGCUGCUUCAUCAAAGCUUGCAAGCUGCAAAGGCAAUAAAGUCAGCUAGGAAAAUGGAGGUACAUCUUUAAUAAUCUAAUCAUAGAAGUGGCAGCCUAUCAACAGUCUAUUAACUUGAAGGAAGUCAUUCAAGAAAAAGGGAUUACACAAGGGCAUGAGUACCAGGAGACAGGAAUCAUUUGAGGCCAUUUUAGAAGCCACCUACCACACCCUGUGAUGCACACUGUCAGUAAUAUGGAGUUACAUAUAUAGGCCAUAAAGACUUGGGCAAAGAGUUUCUCAGCAUCAGUCAUGAUGCUUUCCUACUGAUGAGAGACUGCCAAUCCCACCCAUUCAUAUUUUCUUUCUUCCUUUUGGUAAUAGUAAUCCCCAAGUUUUUGGGAGGUACAUGAUUGUCCAUCUAGAGAUGACAUAUCCCAGCCUCACUUGCAACUAGUUGUGGCCAUAUGACUAAGUUCCCACCAAUGGCAUGUGAGCCUAAGUGAUGUAUGUCACUUCUAGGUCACAUCCUUAAAAGAAAGUUGCAUGCUCUCCCUUUCUUCUUUCCUCUUUCUUGAGGCUGGAAUGCGGACAUAAUGUUGGGCAUUUAACUCAAUCAUGUGGAUAGGACAACACCCGAGAGGAUGGCAAAGCAACAAAACAGAAGGCAUAAGGGUCCUCAGACCAUCACAAGAAGCAGAGCAGCCCACCUUUCCUGGGCUGCCUACCAGCUGGACUUUUAUUUGAAAGACAGACCAUCUUGUUUAAGCCAUGGUUACUUGGUACCUGUUACAGCAACUAAACAAAUAUCCUAAAUGAUAGAUCACAAAAUGCUUCUAAGGCAGUUAUUAACGGUGUUCCUGGUGAGUCUUCUUGGGACAGCUGUGAAUUACAUCCUUUUAAAAGAGUACCUGAGAAAGCAAGCCCAGGUGAUAUCACCAUUUAAGCCCCUCUUAGGCUGUGUUUGCUGAUGUCCUCAAAAUGCGUUCUCACUAGCUUAAGGGUGUCUUCUUAGGAUGCUGCUAUGGAAAACUCCAUCACUGUUUUCCAGCUUUGCCCAUACUCAGGUACCAAGAGGAUUUCACUCAUGUGAUUCUUCAUUUAUUUCACUAUUUUAGGGGCUCUUCUCAUGUGGCAGUCACUGUGUCAGGCGCCAGGGAAACAGCAGACAGCAGAACAGACACGAGCUUUACACUCUCAGGAAGCUGAUAUUCCAGUAAGGCAGGAAAGACCCAAUAAACAAGAUAAUUUCAGGGAAUUAUACAACAAAACAGCAACCUGAAAUUUGUCUUCAUGUCCUCUAUAAAUUACACAGGCAAACUGAGUCUAUCACGUUGCUGAAUAUCUUAUGGUCUCUGUGAUAGCUAGCCUCAGAGAUGGCCCCCAAUAGUCCUUGUCUCUUAACUGCCUCAGCCUGAAGGAGACGCAUUACUUCCACACACAUUCCAUUGGUGAGAAUUAGUCCCACAAACACACCUAGAAGCACAGAGAUUGGGAAACAUAGAGA
RNAcentral lists this long non-coding RNA (2254 nucleotides) under Homo sapiens (human). RNAcentral's name for it is "HSALNT0042989". Lineage: Eukaryota; Metazoa; Chordata; Mammalia; Primates; Hominidae. The record is from RNAcentral.